GUGAGGAAUAUUGCGCAAUGGAGGCAACUCUGACGCAGCCAUGCCGCGUGCAGGAAGAAGGCGCUACGCGUUGUAAACUGCUUUUAACCGGGAAGAAACCCCAGGACGUGUCCUGGGUUGACGGUACCGGAGGAAUAAGCACCGGCUAACUUCGUGCCAGCAGCCGCGGUAAUACGAAGGGUGCAAGCGUUAUCCGGAUUCAUUGGGGUUAAAGGGUGCUUAGGCGGAGCGUUAAGUCAGUGGUGAAAUCCUGCAGCUUAACUGUAGACUUGCCAUUGAUACUGGCGCUCUUGAGUGCGCUUGAAGUGGGCGGAAUGUGCCGUGUAGCGGUGAAAUGCUUAGAUAUGGCACAGAACACCAAUUGCGAAGGCAGCUCACUAAGGCGAUACUGACGCUGAGGCACGAAAGCGUGGGGAUCGAACAGGAUUAGAAACCCUGGUAGUCC
Molecule: ribosomal RNA, 445 nt
Filed under: uncultured bacterium
Lineage: Bacteria
Description: partial 16S ribosomal RNA
Rfam family: Bacterial small subunit ribosomal RNA
Source: RNAcentral